RNAcentral lists this ribosomal RNA (1344 nucleotides) under uncultured bacterium. RNAcentral describes it as "16S ribosomal RNA". It matches the Rfam family "Bacterial small subunit ribosomal RNA", at positions 28 to 1378 of the family's 1533-position model. The record is from RNAcentral.
GACGAACGUUGGCGGCGUGCUUAACACAUGCAAGUCGAACGGAAAGGCCCUGCUUUUGUGGGGUGCUCGAGUGGCGAACGGGUGAGUAACACGUGAGUAACCUGCCCUUGACUUUGGGAUAACUUCAGGAAACUGGGGCUAAUACCGGAUAGGAGCUCCUGCUGCAUGGUGGGGGUUGGAAAGUUUCGGCGGUUGGGGAUGGACUCGCGGCUUAUCAGCUUGUUGGUGGGGUAGUGGCUUACCAAGGCUUUGACGGGUAGCCGGCCUGAGAGGGUGACCGGCCACAUUGGGACUGAGAUACGGCCCAGACUCCUACGGGAGGCAGCAGUGGGGAAUAUUGCACAAUGGGCGGAAGCCUGAUGCAGCAACGCCGCGUGCGGGAUGACGGCCUUCGGGUUGUAAACCGCUUUCGCCUGUGACGAAGCGUGAGUGACGGUAAUGGGUAAAGAAGCACCGGCUAACUACGUGCCAGCAGCCGCGGUGAUACGUAGGGUGCGAGCGUUGUCCGGAUUUAUUGGGCGUAAAGGGCUCGUAGGUGGUUGAUCGCGUCGGAAGUGUAAUCUUGGGGCUUAACCCUGAGCGUGCUUUCGAUACGGGUUGACUUGAGGAAGGUAGGGGAGAAUGGAAUUCCUGGUGGAGCGGUGGAAUGCGCAGAUAUCAGGAGGAACACCAGUGGCGAAGGGCGGUUCUCUGGGCCUUUCCUGACGCUGAGGAGCGAAAGCGUGGGGAGCGAACAGGCUUAGAUACCCUGGUAGUCCACGCUGUAAACGGUGGGUACUAGGUGUGGGGUCCAUUCCACGGGUUCCGUGCCGUAGCUAACGCUUUAAGUACCCCGCCUGGGGAGUACGGCCGCAAGGCUAAAACUCAAAGGAAUUGACGGGGCCCCGCACAAGCGGCGGAGCAUGCGGAUUAAUUCGAUGCAACGCGUAGAACCUUACCUGGGUUUGACAUGGAUCGGGAGUGCUCAGAGAUGGGUGUGCCUCUUUUGGGGUCGGUUCACAGGUGGUGCAUGCCUGUCGUCAGCUCGUGUCGUGAGAUGUUGGGUUAAGUCCCGCAACGAGCGCAACCCUUGUUCACUGUUGCCAGCACGUUAUGGUGGGGACUCAGUGGAGACCGCCGGGGUCAACUCGGAGGAAGGUGGGGAUGACGUCAAGUCCUCAUGCCCCUUAUGUCCAGGGCUUCACGCAUGCUACAAUGGCUGGUACAGAGAGUGGCGAGCCUGUGAGGGUGAGCGAAUCUCGGAAAGCCGGUCUCAGUUCGGAUUGGGGUCUGCAAUUCGACCUCAUGAAGUCGGAGUCGCUAGUAAUCGCAGAUCAGCAACGCUGCGGUGAAUACGUUCCCGGG